This 253-nucleotide ribosomal RNA is filed under the name uncultured bacterium. RNAcentral's name for it is "partial 16S ribosomal RNA". It matches the Rfam family "Bacterial small subunit ribosomal RNA", at positions 524 to 776 of the family's 1533-position model. The record is from RNAcentral.
UACGGGGGGAGCAAGCGUUGUUCGGAUUUACUGGGCGUAAAGGGCGCGUAGGCGGCGUGACAAGUCACUUGUGAAAACUCGGGGCUUAACUCCGAGCCUGCUUCUGAUACGGGCAGACUAGAGGUAUGCAGGGGAGAAUGGAAUUCCUGGUGUAGCGGUGAAAUGCGCAGAUAUCAGGAGGAACACCGGUGGCGAAGGCGGUUCUCUGGGCAUGACCUGACGCUGAGGAGCGAAAGUGUGGGGAGCGAACAGG